This 700-nucleotide ribosomal RNA is filed under the name uncultured Flavobacteriia bacterium. RNAcentral describes it as "bacterial SSU rRNA". It matches the Rfam family "Bacterial small subunit ribosomal RNA", at positions 28 to 721 of the family's 1533-position model. The record is from RNAcentral. Lineage: Bacteria; Pseudomonadati; Bacteroidota; Flavobacteriia.
GAUGAACGCUAGCGGCAGGCCUAACACAUGCAAGUCGAGGGGUAACAGGGAGUGCUUGCACUCUGCUGACGACCGGCGCACGGGUGCGGAACGCGUAUGGAACCUGCCCCUGUCAGGGGAAUAGCCCAGAGAAAUUUGGAUUAAUGCCCCAUGGUAUCGAACCACCGCAUGGUGGUUUGAUUAAAGAUUUAUCGGACAGGGAUGGCCAUGCGUACCAUUAGCUAGUUGGUGAGGUAACGGCUCACCAAAGCAACGAUGGUUAGGGGCCCUGAGAGGGGGAUCCCCCACACUGGUACUGAGACACGGACCAGACUCCUACGGGAGGCAGCAGUGAGGAAUAUUGGACAAUGGCCGAAAGGUUGAUCCAGCCAUGCCGCGUGCAGGAUGACGGCCCUAUGGGUUGUAAACUGCUUUUACAUGGGAAGAAACCUCCCCUCGUGAGGGGAGCUGACGGUACCAUGAGAAUAAGGACCGGCUAACUCCGUGCCAGCAGCCGCGGUAAUACGGAGGGUCCGAGCGUUAUCCGGAAUCAUUGGGUUUAAAGGGUCCGUAGGCGGGCCUAUAAGUCAGGGGUGAAAGGCCACGGCUCAACCGUGGGACUGCCCUUGAUACUGUAGGUCUUGAGUUAUAGUGGGGUUGCCGGAACAUGUGGUGUAGCGGUGAAAUGCAUAGAUAUCACAUAGAACACCGAUCGCGAAGG